CCCUAUGGGUGCAGCAGGCCACGGGUCCAUUCCUGGAUGCGAUUGAAAAUGGCGGAGGAGUGCCAGGGGUUGGUUGAUUCUGCGACGAUCGCGUCUUCAUCGAUGAGGGACAUACGGGCGGAAAUCUGGUUGUAUUUAUAGUAGGUAAACGAUUUGAGACAGGGCAAUUGGGGUUCACGGUUUUUUGUUGCGGAGAGUUUGCCGGUGAGAUGGACUUUCAUGCCGGGCUGGUAAUUGUCGUGCAUGCCGAGGAGCGAGACUUCGACGAGGCCGGUGACGCAGGCGGUUUUUCCGAGAGCGCGGAGGUGGUCGGCCUGGAGGAGGAAGCGGGUGUGCAGAUUCGGCGACGAUUGGUAGGGGAAGGUUCGCUGUGGCUGAUUGAUGGCGGGGGAGC
This 394-nucleotide ribosomal RNA is filed under the name uncultured prokaryote. RNAcentral describes it as "partial 16S ribosomal RNA". The record is from RNAcentral.